RNAcentral lists this ribosomal RNA (483 nucleotides) under uncultured bacterium. RNAcentral's name for it is "partial 16S ribosomal RNA". It matches the Rfam family "Bacterial small subunit ribosomal RNA", at positions 30 to 507 of the family's 1533-position model. The record is from RNAcentral.
UUGCACGCUGGCGGCAGGCCUAACCCAUGCAAGUCGCGCGGAUGAAGGGAGCUUGCUCCUGGAUUCAGCGGCGGACGGGUGAGUAAUGCCUAGGAAUCUGCCUGGUAGUGGGGGAUAACGUCCGGAAACGGGCGCUAAUACCGCAUACGUCCUGAGGGAGAAAGUGGGGGAUCUUCGGACCUCACGCUAUCAGAUGAGCCUAGGUCGGAUUAGCUAGUUGGUGGGGUAAAGGCCUACCAAGGCGACGAUCCGUAACUGGUCUGAGAGGAUGAUCAGUCACACUGGAACUGAGACACGGUCCAGACUCCUACGGGAGGCAGCAGUGGGGAAUAUUGGACAAUGGGCGAAAGCCUGAUCCAGCCAUGCCGCGUGUGUGAAGAAGGUCUUCGGAUUGUAAAGCACUUUAAGUUGGGAGGAAGGGCAGUAAGUUAAUACCUUGCUGUUUUGACGUUACCAACAGAAUAAGCACCGGCUAACUUCGUG